GACGAACGCUGGCGGCGCGCCUAACACAUGCAAGUCGAACGAGCGAGAGAGAGCUUGCUUUCUCGAGCGAGUGGCGAACGGGUGAGUAACGCGUGAGGAACCUGCCUCAAAGAGGGGGACAACAGUUGGAAACGACUGCUAAUACCGCAUAAGCCCACAGGUCGGCAUCGACCAGAGGGAAAAGGAGCAAUCCGCUUUGAGAUGGCCUCGCGUCCGAUUAGCUAGUUGGUGAGGUAAUGGCCCACCAAGGCAACGAUCGGUAGCCGGACUGAGAGGUUGAACGGCCACAUUGGGACUGAGACACGGCCCAGACUCCUACGGGAGGCAGCAGUGGGGAAUAUUGCACAAUGGGGGAAACCCUGAUGCAGCGACGCCGCGUGGAGGAAGAAGGUCUUCGGAUUGUAAACUCCUGUUGUUGGGGAAGAUAAUGACGGUACC
Molecule: ribosomal RNA, 438 nt
Filed under: uncultured bacterium
Lineage: Bacteria
Description: bacterial SSU rRNA
Rfam family: Bacterial small subunit ribosomal RNA
Source: RNAcentral